AGCGUAAUUUUCUUGGAGAGUUCAUAUUAAUAGGAAAGAUUGCGACCUCGAUGUUGGAUUAAAAUUAAAUUUUGGUGUAGCAGCUAAAAGUUUAGGUCUGUUCGACCUUUAAAAUUUUACAUGAUCUGAGUUUAAACCGGCGUGAGCCAGGUUGGUUUCUAUCUCUAUAAAGAUAAUAUAUUUUAGUACGAAAGGACCAGAUAUAUAUUUAAUAAAUUAUGAAUAGAAUAUUAUUAUU
RNAcentral lists this ribosomal RNA (238 nucleotides) under Brachytemnus porcatus. RNAcentral's name for it is "partial large subunit ribosomal RNA". The stretch from base 1 to 164 matches the Rfam family "Bacterial large subunit ribosomal RNA", at positions 2479 to 2643 of the family's 2925-position model. The record is from RNAcentral. Lineage: Eukaryota; Metazoa; Arthropoda; Insecta; Coleoptera; Curculionidae.